Molecule: ribosomal RNA, 350 nt
Filed under: uncultured bacterium
Lineage: Bacteria
Description: bacterial SSU rRNA
Rfam family: Bacterial small subunit ribosomal RNA
Source: RNAcentral
UGGGGAAUAUUGCACAAUGGGGGAAACCCUGAUGCAGCCAUGCCGCGUGUGUGAAGAAGGCCCUAGGGUUGUAAAGCACUUUAAGUUGUGAGGAAGGUUAGUAAGUUAAUACCUUGCUAAAUUGACGUUAGCAACAGAAUAAGCACCGGCUAACUCCGUGCCAGCAGCCGCGGUAAUACGGAGGGUGCAAGCGUUAAUCGGAAUUACUGGGCGUAAAGCGCGCGUAGGCGGCUAUUCAAGCCAGAUGUGAAAUCCCCGGGCUUAACCUGGGAACUGCAUCCGGAACUGGGUAGCUAGAAUACAGCAGAGGAGUGUGGAAUUUCAGGUGUAGCGGUGAAAUGCGUAGAGAU